ACACAUUGAUGCUCACCAAAGAUAUACAUUAUUUAUACAUCAAUUAUAUACAACUAACUAUACUUAAUGUACACAAUUUCUCAUUAUACAUUAAUUAUUAAUUAAUCUCUUUUUCAUUUUCAGGAGCUAUUGGAUCAGGAAAGGAGCACCACAGUGCAUCUAGUCCAGGCCUUCCAAAUUCUACAGCCUGAUUCAACCACAUAAGGAUUAAUCUGCCCAUGCAAAGGCUUUCCCCCCACAUGGCAUUAGAUCAGAAUGUUGGGGUACUUAUACCUUUCACCAUAAGACUGCUCCGUGAUGGUUGGUUCUUCCUCUCUGUGUGGCGUAGAGGAUCUGUUACCAAGGGGCAGCCAUUUGAUGGCAUCUCUAUUAACAGAUGUAAUAAGUGCUCCAGCUCUUCAAACUCAAAUGAAGGAACAGAGCAGAAAUGUCUUGUCUCAGUUCCUCUCCACAAAUGGGUUGACUGUUUUCCUGUAUGAAAGUCUGAAGAGUGAUUGAGAACAUUUAUUGUUUAUCCACCAGCUUAGAAACUUAUUGAGCCAGAGCUGGGAAACAAACCACUUUCCCGUAUCAACUGUCAGUUUGGUUUCUCAUCACUGAAUAGCCAACAGGAAAAAAAGAAAUUGAUUUUUUUUCCUCUUGCCUCCUGUAUUAUGAGAACUGUUUGGGGUUCUCAAGACACAUUCUCAGGGAAGUUAUAUUUAGACAUAAAUUACCCUCGCCCCAGGUUCUUAAGUGAAUUUAUUCUCUCUGGAAGUCC
RNAcentral lists this long non-coding RNA (760 nucleotides) under Pogona vitticeps (central bearded dragon). Its description in RNAcentral is "lncRNA (ENSPVIG00000022602.1)". The record is from RNAcentral. Lineage: Eukaryota; Metazoa; Chordata; Lepidosauria; Squamata; Agamidae.